Lytechinus pictus (painted urchin) is the source of this 535-nucleotide long non-coding RNA. RefSeq lists it as uncharacterized. NCBI's taxonomy places the organism in Eukaryota, Metazoa, Echinodermata, Echinoidea, Temnopleuroida, Toxopneustidae. The record is from RefSeq and is a predicted model, not a curated record. The transcript has 3 exons.
UAUUAUUCCCACACGGAACGGCAGAAGGGGACGCUCUUCUUGCUAAAGGAGAUGAUGGGAACUCUGGUGAUAUCGUUAUCUCCACCAAUUUUUCUUUAUUUGGCGUCGCUUACAAAAACAUAUAUGUAAAUAUCAACGGCGCUGUUUCUUUCUCGACGCCCAUCAACUCAUACUCACCCGAGCCCUUCCCCCUCGAUGACAAUCGUGCGAUCAUCGCUCCAUUCUGGACUGAUAUCGAUACUUCGUAUGGAAUAGGUCAUGGUGACGUCAUGUAUAGACAGCUACUUCUAACCAAUCAUACGACAGCACUUUUCGAUCGAGUCAAUGGGAUUGUUCGUAAUGUUUCACCGGAUCGGGACACAUUCAAAGCAACCUGGAUGUUCAUAGCAACUUGGAGUGAUGUGGCUUAUUAUGACGCACUCGAUCCGUCGGAGCUUUUGAAUACAUUCCAGUGUGUUCUCUUGACGGAUGGGGAUUACUGCGGAGUAAUAAUGAUCUACAACGAUAUCACAUGGACUGGCCAAGAAAGCACUCC